Schistosoma haematobium is the source of this 78-nucleotide non-coding RNA. NCBI's taxonomy places the organism in Eukaryota, Metazoa, Platyhelminthes, Trematoda, Strigeidida, Schistosomatidae. The record is from Rfam.
AGUCUUCUGAGUCCGUGCCGAGAUUUCGUCAGACACUAGACCAUCAGUACUGGUGAGACUCCUAAUAUAAAUGAAACG